AGCACUUGCGCAUCUUGUUAAAAUGCAGGUUCUGAUUCAGCAGGAUUGGGGUGGAGUCUGAGAUUCUGCAUUUUUAACAAGCUCCCAAGUAAUGACAG
Macaca mulatta (Rhesus monkey) is the source of this 98-nucleotide non-coding RNA. NCBI's taxonomy places the organism in Eukaryota, Metazoa, Chordata, Mammalia, Primates, Cercopithecidae. The record is from Rfam.